This is an RNA transcript of Homo sapiens (human), 6188 nucleotides long. It is a transcript of the gene named KYAT1-SPOUT1 readthrough, with no coding region annotated. The record is from RefSeq and is marked validated. NCBI's taxonomy places the organism in Eukaryota, Metazoa, Chordata, Mammalia, Primates, Hominidae. The transcript is spliced from 25 exons.
GCUGCAACCUACGGGGUGUACUUGGGAACGAGGGGUGAAGCGGCCCAGGUGAGGCUCGCCAUGGCCAAACAGCUGCAGGCCCGAAGGCUAGACGGGAUCGACUACAACCCCUGGGUGGAGUUUGUGAAACUGGCCAGUGAGCAUGACGUCGUGAACUUGGGCCAGGGCUUCCCGGAUUUCCCACCACCAGACUUUGCCGUGGAAGCCUUUCAGCACGCUGUCAGUGGAGACUUCAUGCUUAACCAGUACACCAAGACAUUUGGUUACCCACCACUGACGAAGAUCCUGGCAAGUUUCUUUGGGGAGCUGCUGGGUCAGGAGAUAGACCCGCUCAGGAAUGUGCUGGUGACUGUUGGUGGCUAUGGGGCCCUGUUCACAGCCUUCCAGGCCCUGGUGGACGAAGGAGACGAGGUCAUCAUCAUCGAACCCUUUUUUGACUGCUACGAGCCCAUGACAAUGAUGGCAGGGGGUCGUCCUGUGUUUGUGUCCCUGAAGCCGGGUCCCAUCCAGAAUGGAGAACUGGGUUCCAGCAGCAACUGGCAGCUGGACCCCAUGGAGCUGGCCGGCAAAUUCACAUCACGCACCAAAGCCCUGGUCCUCAACACCCCCAACAACCCCCUGGGCAAGGUGUUCUCCAGGGAAGAGCUGGAGCUGGUGGCCAGCCUUUGCCAGCAGCAUGACGUGGUGUGUAUCACUGAUGAAGUCUACCAGUGGAUGGUCUACGACGGGCACCAGCACAUCAGCAUUGUCUCAGCAGCUGUUCUGUUCGGCCUUGGGCAGCCAGCCUCCCUGGCAUGUGGGAACGGACCCUGACCAUCGGCAGCGCCGGCAAGACCUUCAGCGCCACUGGCUGGAAGGUGGGCUGGGUCCUGGGUCCAGAUCACAUCAUGAAGCACCUGCGGACCGUGCACCAGAACUCCGUCUUCCACUGCCCCACGCAGAGCCAGGCUGCAGUAGCCGAGAGCUUUGAACGGGAGCAGCUGCUCUUCCGCCAACCCAGCAGCUACUUUGUGCAGUUCCCGCAGGCCAUGCAGCGCUGCCGUGACCACAUGAUACGUAGCCUACAGUCAGUGGGCCUGAAGCCCAUCAUCCCUCAGGGCAGCUACUUCCUCAUCACAGACAUCUCAGACUUCAAGAGGAAGAUGCCUGACUUGCCUGGAGCUGUGGAUGAGCCCUAUGACAGACGCUUCGUCAAGUGGAUGAUCAAGAACAAGGGCUUGGUGGCCAUCCCUGUCUCCAUCUUCUAUAGUGUGCCACAUCAGAAGCACUUUGACCACUAUAUCCGCUUCUGUUUUGUGAAGGAUGAAGCCACGCUCCAGGCCAUGGACGAGAAGCUGCGGAAGUGGAAGGUGGAACUCUAGCCCUGAAGUCACGCCUUGGCCCUGACAUCCCCACAUGCCCGCAGAGAUCCUCUUUGAGUGUCUGUCUUUGUCCAGGUUUCAGACAUUUCUAGGUUGGGGAAGAUGCUAUUGGGAAACCUCUUCUCCGUGACACAGAAUGUUCUGGGUGGGAGCCGCCCUUCUUCAUCUUAGAGAACCAAGUGCCUCCUGUCUGAAAGGUGAGGGUGGCCUGACCUGGGCCUCUCCCUGCCCCUCCAUAGGUGGGUUUGUAGGGUCUUGUGUUGCUUCUGGUCUCUCCAGGCUUGGCUGAGACGGACGGUAGACUUCCACCAUGUACCGAUCACAUCCCAGCUCUGCAUGGCCCCUGCUAAGGCUCAGAGGGGGGCUCCGAGCCAUCCAAAAUUCAGCACAGUACCCGCGAUGCCGCCUAUUUGGACACCUACUCUGCCCAACCUACUCCAGCCCGCGUACCCCUGCAGCCCGUCGGGCGCCCAGGCCACGCCCCUGGGCGAUAUUGGCUCUCCGAUUGGACAGCUUAAUGGAGGUGUGGCCGGAAGAGGCGAGUCUCAUUGGCAGAGGCGGGACCGACGGUGUGUGCGGAACAUGGCGGAGCGCGGCAGGAAGCGGCCGUGCGGCCCGGGUGAACACGGCCAAAGGAUUGAGUGGCGAAAAUGGAAGCAACAGAAGAAAGAGGAGAAAAAAAAAUGGAAGGAUCUCAAGCUGAUGAAAAAACUGGAGCGGCAGCGGGCACAGGAGGAACAGGCAAAGCGCCUGGAAGAGGAGGAGGCAGCGGCAGAGAAGGAGGACCGCGGGCGGCCCUACACACUGAGCGUAGCCCUGCCGGGCUCCAUCCUGGACAAUGCUCAGUCGCCGGAGCUUCGCACCUACUUGGCCGGUCAGAUUGCCAGAGCCUGUGCCAUCUUCUGUGUGGAUGAGAUCGUGGUGUUUGAUGAGGAGGGCCAGGAUGCCAAGACUGUGGAGGGGGAAUUCACAGGAGUUGGGAAGAAGGGGCAGGCGUGCGUACAGCUGGCCCGGAUCCUGCAGUACCUGGAGUGUCCACAGUACCUGAGGAAGGCGUUCUUCCCCAAGCACCAGGAUCUACAGUUUGCAGGGCUCCUGAACCCCCUGGACAGCCCCCACCACAUGCGUCAGGAUGAGGAAUCCGAGUUCCGAGAGGGCAUCGUGGUGGAUCGGCCCACCCGGCCAGGCCACGGCUCCUUUGUCAACUGUGGCAUGAAAAAGGAGGUGAAGAUUGACAAGAACCUGGAGCCCGGGCUUCGGGUGACUGUGCGACUGAACCAGCAGCAGCACCCAGACUGCAAGACCUACCAUGGCAAAGUGGUAUCAUCGCAGGACCCUCGCACCAAAGCUGGUCUCUACUGGGGCUACACCGUCCGACUGGCUUCCUGCCUCAGUGCUGUGUUUGCUGAGGCCCCCUUCCAAGAUGGGUAUGACCUGACCAUCGGGACGUCAGAGCGCGGCUCAGAUGUGGCCUCUGCCCAGCUUCCCAACUUCAGGCAUGCUCUUGUGGUGUUCGGGGGCCUCCAGGGUCUGGAAGCUGGAGCGGAUGCUGACCCCAACCUGGAGGUGGCUGAACCCAGUGUCCUCUUUGACCUGUACGUCAAUACCUGUCCUGGCCAGGGUAGCCGUACCAUCCGCACGGAGGAAGCCAUCCUCAUCUCCCUGGCCGCCCUGCAGCCUGGCCUCAUCCAGGCGGGUGCCCGGCACACCUGAAAGUUCUAAGGGGCCGAGGACAUCAGUGAAGCAGCAGUGAAACCAGGGGCUCUGCAGGUCACUUGGGACGGACGCCACCAGACUUGUCUCCAAAAAUCACCACCUUUAAUACUCCCCGGCCUGCACACACCCACAGUCUCACUGGGCUCCACCCUCACUUACUGCCCGCCGUGAUGGCCUUGAGGCUGCCUGCCCGCGCCAGGAUGUUUGGCACAAAGAGCAGCCCCGAAGCCCGCUCAAUGCUCUCGAUGGGCACCAGGAAGCGCUCCAGUGGGAUGGCCUCAUCCACAGGUGCGUUGGGCAUCACGUAGGUGCGGAGCUCAAUUUGCCCACCUGCUGCCUCCAGGAUCAGCACCUUGAAGAAGUGUGUGGGCACUGCCACGUGGUUCUUGCCGAUGACCUGGUACUUUACGUAGGAUUUCCCAUCAGCCUCUGUCCUGUGGGCAGACCCAGGCACACGUGGGCAGGGGGCCUGGAUGAACCCAAAGCCACCUCUUCCAGGCAGCCUUCCCUGAUCUGUCCUCUAACUUCUGUCAACCUGCAGGACCACGCCCUCACUGUGAGACUUCUGUAGCCUGCCUGGCUCCUCCUUGAGGCUGGAACUCUCUCCAGGGUGGUUAACUCUUUCCCUCUGUUUUCCUUAUGCCCAACACUGGGUCAGGCAGAGUGGGCGACAAUAAACGCUGCUAGGAGAAUCGAGCCUUCUGAAUAUUCACAUUCGUCUGAGGGGAGACUUAACGACUGUCCAUCUCUCCCCACAGAGGUGAGCAACAAGUGGGCAAGGACCAUGACAGGUGAUAUCCCAGCACCAGCACAGGUGCCAGGACACCGGACGGGGGCUCCCCCUCAGCAGAGUCUCCUCCCUUCCACCAGGCCCUAGGAGGCACCUGCUAAUGAAAUUUGAUCAGUGCCCCAACCACCGCCUUGGCCAGCCUAUGCCGAGCCCUUACCAUGGACCAGGCCCUGGGGAAGCAUGUGACAUCAACCAAGAGGUCACAGGUUUUGCAGAGGGGGACACAGGUCAUUUGCCCACAGCACCAAGGAACUAGGUGAUGAGGCCUGGACUCCAUCCCGAGCCUGUGGAUUCCAGAGUGAGCUGCUCAGCCUGGACCUGUUGCCUCUCAGCCCCAGCCCUCUGCAGGCCAGAAAAACCACGGAGCACACCCAGAGGUGCUCAGUUGCUUCCACCUGAGAGGCAGGGCUGCACAGGAGCAAGAGUGGAGGCCCUGGGUCAGGCAGAUCUAGAUUCAAACUCCCGAGAAGGGUGGAGGGAAGUGCUCCAAGCAGAGCAGAGACUGAAGGCGGGAGAGCCUGGUGCACCGCGGACCUGCAGGGGGAAGGCAUGAGAGCUCGGUGCACUGGGGACCUGCAUGGGGAAGGCGGGAGAGCUCGGUGCACUGGGGACCUGCAUGGGGAAGGCGUGAGAGCUCGGUGCACUGGGGACCUGCAUGGGGAAGGCGGGAGAGCUCGGUGCACCUCGGACCUGCAGAGGGAAGGUGGGAGAGCUUGGUGCACCGCAGACCUGCAGGGGGAAGGCGGGAGAGCUUGGUGCACUGCAGACCUGCGGGGGGAAGGUGGGAGAGCUUGGUGCACUGCAGACCUGCGGGGGGUUCCAUAUUGGCAGAACAAGAUUGGGUGGGCAUGCCAAGAGGUGACAGCAGGGAGAAGCGGGGGCAGAUUCAGGGCCUGCUGCUGCCCAUGGGCAGAGGAGAGAUGGUCAGGGGUACCCGACAGGUCUUUGGCUGUGGAGGUGGAAUGAGGGGACUCGAGGCAGGGAAGCUGACAGGCUUGCCAAGAAACCAGAUGAGUAGGGAACUGGUAUUGACCCAGAGCCUGGGGCAAGCCUGGCCCUGUGAGUGGCAGUAGGGGCCUCAGGUGAGUGGGAGGUUCUGCCGCCCCCCUGGUUUCCACCUUACCUGGGCAGGAAGAGUGGCCCUGUGCAGACAUAGACGUUUUGGUAGCUGCGGGUCAAGCUGCGGCUAUAUUUCUCCAGGUUGUUCCAGGCAUUCUGGUUGAGGUGGGGCACCUGGUAGGAGAGAUAGGGCUUAGCAGGACUGUGGCUGGGACCCUUCCUCCUCUAUCAGAGGGCCGCCCCAGGUCCUGAGGGGAUGGACAGGCUCAGAGAUAUCCAGUGAGACAAGCGGGGGGAAACUGAGGCUCAAGGAAUGAAAGUCACUCCCUGAAACCCAGGGCUGAUAGAGUGCUAGCCACCACCCUCUGUCCCUCCCACAGCCCAGGUGUCAAAGUCUUUUCUCAGCUCCCAAGAGUCGAAUGAAGGAAGAGCCUGUCUCCACCUUUCAGAGAGGACUGAGGCCUGUCCCCAGCCCCACCCAGGGUCUCCUGGGAAGACCAGCCCUUCCAACUACCAACCCGUUCCUUUUCCCAGUCUGAGCCACAGGAAGAGCCUAGCGGGGAAUGCCAUGAAUCGACCUCCAUCCUGAGCUCUCCAGGCCUGGGACAAUGGAAAGUGGAUAGGGGGCUGUCUUCCCAGAAGGAAGCUGGGUCAGAGGUUGGUGCCCCAUGGGCUCCACCCAGAGCCCCAUGGCAGUCUCCAUCCAUUGGUGCCAGGACCUGCUGGGAACAGGCUGAGAGGGUGGUUGGCCCAGUGCACAGUGCCUGGCACUAACAACCUGAUCGUGGGCCAGGUGUCUGCCUCGAAACUGCCUGAAGGCAGGCAGGGUAGGACAAUGUCUGGAGGCUCACGGUUUUAUAGACUAGGGGUCCCCAACCCCUGGGCUACAGACCGGUACCAGAACCGGGCCACACAGCAGGAGGUGAGCAGCAGGCGAGCAAGGGAAGCUUCAUCUGUAUUUACAGCCACCCCCCCAUUGAUCCCACAGCAGCCUGAGCUCCGCCUCCUGUCAGAUCAGUGGCGGCUGGAGAUUGUCAUAGGAGCUGGAACCCUAUGGUGAACUGCGCAUGUGAGGAGGUUGCGCGCUUCUUUUGAAAACCUAAUGCCUGAUCUGUCGUUGUUGCCCAUCACCUCCAGAUAGGACUGUCUAGUUGCAGGAAAACAAGCUCAGGGCUCCCACGGAUCCUACAUUACUGUGAGUUGUAUAUUUCACUAUAUGUUACAAUGUAAUAAUAAUAGAAAUAAAAUGUACAUAAAUGUAA